Non-coding RNA from Mycena leptocephala, 93 nucleotides. NCBI's taxonomy places the organism in Eukaryota, Fungi, Basidiomycota, Agaricomycetes, Agaricales, Mycenaceae. The record is from the annotation of a GenBank genome assembly.
GCCUCCGUGGUGUAAAGGUAACACCCCUCACCUCAAUUCAGUCCGUCAUUUGGUUUAUGUGAGGCAUUGUGCGUUCGAUCCGCGCCGGAGGUG